Non-coding RNA from Myotis davidii, 75 nucleotides. Lineage: Eukaryota; Metazoa; Chordata; Mammalia; Chiroptera; Vespertilionidae. The record is from Rfam.
GGCAGUUCUCAAGUGACGCACCCUGGAACUGGGCUCCCUCCUCUCUGGUUCUGGAUACAUCAUCCAAGAACCACA